AUGAAAACAAUGUCCGCUCUAGCUCGUUGACAUUCAAUUGAAAGAACUGGCAAACAAAGGUAACAAAUAACUUUGAUACUCACGUAAUAUUCUCCAUGCAAAAUUUCACAAGAAAGCCACCACGCAGCAUCACAGAUCACAAAAGACGAAAUUCCCAAGGUGAUAUUGAACGCCACUUUAACUUCUACACUGAGGAGAAGGCACUCAAGACAGAUAUCCGUUCAUGUUGUCUGCAACUGAUUCUAGACGUUUCAGCACCUGGGCAUGCUGGACUGGACAGUGGAUUGCUGAAAGGGAAACACCCAUUUGGUAAGGUUUCGAUGGCCAUUGAUAAUUGGAGAGAAGCAUUGGAAUGCAACAGCUUGUCUGGCUUCGUCUGGACCUAAGUUACACCAAACAGAACACGGGAUCUAAACAAAUUUAAAUUCAGAUUUUUUAGCUCAUAAUUUCAGCUGAAGUUUUCGUGUGACCUAGGUGCUUGUGACAAUAGAAGUCAAGAUAAUAAUGCAAGCUAUGUCUUCCAAAGCAAAAUAGUUUCUGUCAUUUGAUUUUUAUGAUAAUAUUUCAGGUUAACUUCCCCUGUCAAAUCAUGACAGCAGCAAAUGAUGCUGCCACUCAAGAGGUUUUGGUGACCUCCAUUUAGUUCUAAUUUAGGACAUGUAACAUUGAUAGAUUUGAGGUUAAUCCCUCACACCACUCUUAGUUGUUUGGAAACUGAUGAGAGAUUGCUCAUUGCUGGAAUUGAAGACUGAUUAAUUGUGUAGUUGUUAGAUAAGUUACAAGUGCAUAUCUGGGCUCCCUUGUUUUCUGCGGCCCCGUUUCCAUAACUAAUCACUAAUCAACGGCCGCCGGUGGUCAGUCACUCGCUGCGACAACUAGGAGGAAGGGAGUGCGCUGGUCGAACGGUGACUUGCAAGGCGGAUGAUCUAAUGAAAACUGUUGGAGGGUUAUGAAUCUAAGCCGGAAAUCUACAAUGAUUAAUCGCUUCCAAGCAAAACUAGCUUCCCAUUCUUCUCUCUUCAAGUCAAUCAAUAUUUCCUUCCUGAUUGAAUGCAUAUGCAAGUGAUAACACAUUAACAAGCAGACAAAUUUACGUUAGGCCUUGAUAUGUUUACUCAGGUCAGAUUUGUUGUUACAAAAUGUUACAUUGUUGGUACACAAAAAUGUUAUUUGUUAUUAUAAUUUCAUACCUACCUUACCAAUCAAUAUUCAAUAUCAAUAUACCUCAACAUGAAUAAAUAUAAAUUUCCCACGAA
Molecule: long non-coding RNA, 1256 nt
Filed under: Daphnia pulex (common water flea)
Lineage: Eukaryota; Metazoa; Arthropoda; Branchiopoda; Diplostraca; Daphniidae
Description: uncharacterized LOC124198067, transcript variant X1
Source: RNAcentral